AUAUCUGACAGAUUGGGUGUGUAAUAAAUGGUGGAGGACUUGCAAUGAUACACUUGGAUAGAAAUGUAACUUUAACAAUUUCACCCAUUAUCAUUGACUAUGCCUCAGUCUCAGCAUCACAUAUUAAAGACUAUAAAUGUGGUUUUAUCAGUCGUAUUUGAAAUUGAUUGACAGACUGAUGAAAUCAAUUUAAUCCUUUCACUUAUUUAUUAAAAUAAUACUAUCAGCACCUACUAUUUAGUAGGCAUGGAAGAUCUUGGAAUAAAUAAGAAUUUUUCCCCGACCUCAAGAAGCUGAGAAUCUUGUGGGUGAUAAAUACAAUAUCAACUGUAACAAAAAUCAAAACAAACAAACAAACAAAAACCCCCAAAAAUGUUGAGGAGAAAGUUAAGAAAAUAUGUACAGGAUAAUCUGGACAAAUAGGGAGUGAGUAGAAAAGCUUAUUACAAAUCCAGUUUUAUUCUGCUGCUAAGUAGUCUUUGGCAUUUACUCAGAGGAGCCUUCUUUUUUCUUUUUUUAUGGACUCAUCAUAACUUGACAUAAUUUUCUGGAUAAUGACUUGUAAGCUCCAUGAAGGCAGUGGCAAUGACUGUCUUGUUCAUCACUGUAUCCUCAGCGCUUUGCUCAUAAAGCAAUGGCACGUUAAGUACAGCGCCUGGCACAUAAGAAGCACAGAAUGCAUGCUUGUUUAAUGACUAUAUGGAUAAGCAUGAAAGUCAGAGGGACUUUCUUUAAAUGAAUCAGAUUUAUAGGGUGAGAAGAGCUAUGUGAAUCUAGGCCAGAGGCCAAAGUUCCUCAUUUAUUCCAUCGUUGGCAAGUGAGGGCCUCAACAAGAUAUAAAAACUCCUGACUUCUGCAAACCUGCCCUUGACGAACACCCAGUUCAGAAAGCUCUGUGCACCCCUGUCUCUGUCCGCUCUGCUCUGGUGUCUGGCUGCUUCAGGCAUAAUUCAGCCCCUG
This 960-nucleotide long non-coding RNA is filed under the name Pan troglodytes (chimpanzee). Its description in RNAcentral is "long non-coding RNA NONPTRT017251". Lineage: Eukaryota; Metazoa; Chordata; Mammalia; Primates; Hominidae. The record is from RNAcentral.